This 221-nucleotide ribosomal RNA is filed under the name uncultured bacterium. Its description in RNAcentral is "partial 16S ribosomal RNA". It matches the Rfam family "Bacterial small subunit ribosomal RNA", at positions 99 to 334 of the family's 1533-position model. The record is from RNAcentral.
CGGACGGCUGAGUAAUGAACAGGAACGUACCUCGAAGUGGGGCGAUAGCCUCUCGAAAGAGAGGGUAAUACCGCAUGUUGUCGCAAGACCAAAGCCGAAAGGCGCUUUGAGAGCGGCCUGUUUCCUAUCAGGUUGUUGGUGGGGUAAAAGCCUACCAAGCCUAUGACGGGUAGCUGGUCUGAGAGGAUGACCAGCCAGAUCGGGACUGAGAUACGGCCCAG